Molecule: unclassified non-coding RNA, 219 nt
Filed under: Bacillus sp. (in: firmicutes)
Lineage: Bacteria; Bacillati; Bacillota; Bacilli; Caryophanales; Bacillaceae
Description: Bacillus sp. (in: Bacteria) contains 16S-23S intergenic spacer region
Rfam family: Bacterial small subunit ribosomal RNA
Source: RNAcentral
AGGUCUUGACAUCCCCAUGCCCUCCCUAGAGAUAGGGAUUUCCCUUCGGGGACAUGGGUGACAGGUGGUGCAUGGUUGUCGUCAGCUCGUGUCGUGAGAUGUUGGGUUAAGUCCCGCAACGAGCGCAACCCUUGAUCUUAGUUGCCAGCAUUCAGUUGGGCACUCUAAGGUGACUGCCGGUGAUAAACCGGAGGAAGGUGGGGAUGACGUUCGUCUGAC